UGCGAAGGUAGCAUAAUCAUUAGUCUUUUAAUUGAAGACUGGAAUGAAUGGUCGGACAAAAAGUAAGCUGUCUCAGUUUUAAAAAUUGAAAUUAACUUUUAAGUGAAAAGGCUUAAAUGCUCUGAGAGGACGAUAAGACCCUAUAAAACUUCAUAUUCAGGCCAAUAAAUUCCUAUUUAUAUAUUUAAAGUCAUUUAUUGGCCUGAAUAUUGCGUUGGGGAGACGUAAGUAAAACAAAUAACUGCUUUCGAUUUUAAACAAUCAUAUUUGACUCUAUACGACCCUUUAUAAAGAUCUAAAGAUAAAGUUACUUUAGGGAUAACAGCGUUAUUUUUUUUGAGAGUUCCUAUCGACAAAAAAGUUUGCGACCUCGAUGUUGAAUUAAAACAACCUUAUAGUGCAGCAAUUAUAAAGGUAGGUCUGUUCGAC
This 429-nucleotide ribosomal RNA is filed under the name Lepidophthalmus louisianensis. Its description in RNAcentral is "partial 16S ribosomal RNA". It matches the Rfam family "Bacterial large subunit ribosomal RNA", at positions 1949 to 2585 of the family's 2925-position model. The record is from RNAcentral. Lineage: Eukaryota; Metazoa; Arthropoda; Malacostraca; Decapoda; Callianassidae.